RNAcentral lists this non-coding RNA (377 nucleotides) under Pan troglodytes (chimpanzee). Lineage: Eukaryota; Metazoa; Chordata; Mammalia; Primates; Hominidae. The record is from RNAcentral.
CCGACGCGUAGCACCACAACGGUAGCAGCCACGGGUGGUGGAAGGGCACGUCGCCGCCGCUCAGGAAGAACAGACGGCAGAACUUGCUCAGGAACAGCAGCAGCGGGAUGAAGUGCGUCCAGAAGUUGAGCGUCUCGUUGGACUUCUAUUUGGAACUGAGUCCGACAGCUCAGGACUGGCUGCUCAGACUCCACAAUUUAAUGAAAAAUCUCAGAUGAUGACUCAGAAAACCUCUAAUGAUCUGAGGAAUAUAUUAAGGGAUUCCAGAGUCAAAGGCUGAUCAUGGAGGGCAUUGAUGAGGGAAGACUUCAGGUGGCUGGAGACCAGAAGAAAGGAACACUGGAAGAAUGAAAACGGUUGUGAUGCACUGCAGUGUG